GCGGGGGUCGCCAAGCUUGGUCAAAGGCGCCGGCCUGUAGCGCCGGUCCCGUAGGGGUUCGUGGGUUCAAAUGAUUUCUGGAAAUCCCACCCCCCGCA
This 98-nucleotide transfer RNA is filed under the name Candidatus Bathyarchaeota archaeon. RNAcentral describes it as "tRNA-Tyr". It matches the Rfam family "tRNA". From Rfam's summary of the family: Transfer RNA (tRNA) molecules are approximately 80 nucleotides in length. Their secondary structure includes four short double-helical elements and three loops (D, anti-codon, and T loops). Lineage: Archaea; Thermoproteati; Candidatus Bathyarchaeota. The record is from RNAcentral.